This 1153-nucleotide unclassified non-coding RNA is filed under the name Hevea brasiliensis (rubber tree). Lineage: Eukaryota; Viridiplantae; Streptophyta; Magnoliopsida; Malpighiales; Euphorbiaceae. The record is from RNAcentral.
AAACUGACUUGGAGGAGAAUAGUAUAACAUGAUCUAGAAGCAUUACACAUUUCCGAGAAGUUAGCCCAAAAUCGUUUAGAGUGGAGAUCCAUAUAGCCAACUCCAAUAAAUUUUUGGAAUAAAAGUUUAGUUGAGUUGAGUUGUCAUAUCAGCAUAAAACAUUGUAUUAUCAAGUAUCAACACCUAAGGUGCUCUAAAACACUCCUCUAUGUGAAUUGACACUAUUGUUGAAGUAGGUUUUUAAUAAUUUAUUAAAAAAAGAAAGAAUUAGCCAUACUUGAUGCUUAGAUCAAACUUUUGGGUUUUUUUUUUUUGCUAAUUACCAUUAAAAUAAAAGUAGGGGCUAAUAUUGUAAUUCAAAUCAUAACUGUUAAUUUUAUUAUAAAGGAAGUAAAGGAAAUGCAAUGGAGAUGCAGCCGAAAUCAUAAUGGGAUCUAAGAUAUCAUAUAGCGUAACUGAGAAGUAAAAUAAUAAACCAUAAAUUGAAGGGAAAAAAGUGAGGGUGGAAAUAGGGAGAGAGCAUUGUCAUCCAUGAAAAUCAUUUAAAUUACUUAAAAUGCUUCCGAUACAAAAUUAUGCAAAAUUCAGAAGCUUUUCCUUAAUUAAAAAAGUUUUGACGGAAAUCAAAUUCCUAAAUAGCAACCAGUUUCAAAAAGACAGAACAAAUUACUACAUAUGAAUGCUGGUUUAUCAGAAUUCAGUAUACAUUCAGCAGAUAAAACUAUUGCUGAUUUCUUGCGAUUCAAAAAGCAACUUGAUAUAAAUGGAUUGUCAAAUCUAUAGUAGAACAUUGCUUUUCCUUUGAUCAUUUGAUAAACAUAAUGCUACCUAAAAUGGAAAAACCUGAUCUAAAUGGAUUGUGAAAUCCGAUAAUUGAACAUUCUUUUUCAUUUUCUUAUUCAAUAAACAUACUGCUGUCUAAAUUUGCCUCAUUUGAGCUUUCCACAGAACAAUUCACAAUUUUUUUUUUCCAAUAAAAUGAAUGCAUGCCUCAAGUAAGCAUUAAAGCACAUUGAUGCAAGUGUUGAAACAAAGCUGAAAGCUCAUAAUGACUUCUACAGUACUAAUAGAAAUCUGGAGAUAUAUCUUUUUCUUCACAUUUAUAGGUUAUUUAACCUUAAAACACAUUCUCAGAGCAGCUCAUGGAAUUAUU